CCGACGGGCCCGGCCGCAAGGCCGGGUCAGUGGCGCAAGGGUGAGUAAGGCGACGGUAACCAGCCCCAUGGUUGGGUAUAGCCGCGGGAAACUGCGGGUAAUCCCCAGCGACGUCCGUGUCAGGCAUCCGACGUGGACCAAAGCUCAGGCGCCGUGGGACGGGCCGUCGUGGUAUUAGGUAGUUGGCGGGGUAACGGCCCACCAAGCCUAUGAUGCCUACCGGGCGUGCGAGCGCGACCCGGCACACUGGGACUGAGACACUGCCCAGACUCCUACGGGAGGCUGCAGUCGAGAAUCUUCGGCAAUGGGCGCAAGCCUGACCGAGCGACGCCGCGUGGAGGAUGAAGGCCUUCGGGUUGUAAACUCCUGUCGAGGGGGAAGAAGGCCGGGUAACCGGCUUGACCGAUCCCUGGAGGAAGCACGGGCUAAGUUCGUGCCAGCAGCCGCGGUAAGACGAACCGUGCGAACGUUAUUCGGAAUCACUGGGCUUAAAGCGCGUGUAGGCGGAUGGGGACGUCGGUUGCUGAAAUCCCCCGGCUCAACCGGGGAACGGGCACCGAAACGCCCCGUCUCGAGGGACGUAGGGGGACCUGGAACUUCCGGUGGAGCGGUGAAAUGCGUUGAGAUCGGAAGGAACGCCCGUGGCGAAAGCGAGGUCCUGG
RNAcentral lists this ribosomal RNA (662 nucleotides) under uncultured bacterium. RNAcentral's name for it is "bacterial SSU rRNA". It matches the Rfam family "Bacterial small subunit ribosomal RNA", at positions 63 to 732 of the family's 1533-position model. The record is from RNAcentral.